Molecule: ribosomal RNA, 256 nt
Filed under: uncultured bacterium
Lineage: Bacteria
Description: partial 16S ribosomal RNA
Rfam family: Bacterial small subunit ribosomal RNA
Source: RNAcentral
UAGCGUAGGAUGCAAGCGUUUGCCGGAAAUUAUUGGGCGUAAAGAGCGCGCAGGCGGUAUGACAAGUCAGAUGUGAAAGAGGCCGGCUUAACCGGCAAGGGUCAUUUGAAACUGUCAGACUAGAGUGCAGCAGAGGAUAGUGGAAAUUCCCGGUGUAGUGGUGAAAUGCGCAGAUAUCGGGAGGAACACCAGUGGCGAAGGCGACUAUCUGGGCUGCAACUGACGCUGAGGCGCGAAGGCUAGGGUAGCAAACAGG